RNAcentral lists this ribosomal RNA (262 nucleotides) under uncultured bacterium. Its description in RNAcentral is "partial 16S ribosomal RNA". It matches the Rfam family "Bacterial small subunit ribosomal RNA", at positions 510 to 769 of the family's 1533-position model. The record is from RNAcentral.
AGCAGCCGCGGUAAUACAGAGGGUGCGAGCGUUAAUCGGAUUUACUGGGCGUAAAGCGCACGUAGGCGGCUGGGUAAGUCUGUCUGUGAAAGCCCGGGGCUCAACCCCGCGGACUGCAGGGGAUACUGCCUGGCUGGAGACAAGCAGAGGUUGGUAGAAUUCCGGGUGUAGCGGUGGAAUGCGUAGAGAUCCGGAGGAAUACCAGAGGCGAAGGCGGCCAACUGGGCUUGAUCUGACGCUGAGGUGCGAAAGCGUGGGGAGC